RNAcentral lists this ribosomal RNA (442 nucleotides) under uncultured bacterium. RNAcentral's name for it is "partial 16S ribosomal RNA". It matches the Rfam family "Bacterial small subunit ribosomal RNA", at positions 338 to 795 of the family's 1533-position model. The record is from RNAcentral.
CCUACGGGCGGCUGCAGUGGGGAAUAUUGGGCAAUGGGCGAAAGCCUGACCCAGCAACGCCGCGUGAAGGAAGAAGGCUUUCGGUAUGUAAACCCCUUUUGGCAGGGAAGAGCAGAAGACGGUACCUGUCGAAUAAGCCACGGCUAACUACGUGCCAGCAGCCGCGGUAAUACGUAGGUGGCAAGCGUUGUCCGGAUUUACUGGGUGUAAAGGGCGUGUAGGCGGGCUGGCAAGUCAGAUGUGAAAUCCGGGGGCUCAACCGCCGAACUGCAUUUGAAACUGGCGGUCUGGAGUAUCGGAGAGGCAGGCGGAAUUCCUAGUGUAGCGGUGAAAUGCGUAGAUAUUAGGAGGAACACCAGUGGCGAAGGCGGCCUGCUGGACGACGACUGACGCUGAGGCGCGAAAGCGUGGGGAGCAAACAGGAUUAGAUACCCGAGUAGUC